UGGCUCAGAUGGUAAAGCGUCUGUCUGCAAUGCAGGAGACCCAGGUUCGAUCCCUGG
RNAcentral lists this transfer RNA (57 nucleotides) under Capra hircus (goat). It matches the Rfam family "tRNA", at positions 8 to 63 of the family's 71-position model. From Rfam's summary of the family: Transfer RNA (tRNA) molecules are approximately 80 nucleotides in length. Their secondary structure includes four short double-helical elements and three loops (D, anti-codon, and T loops). The record is from Rfam by way of RNAcentral. Lineage: Eukaryota; Metazoa; Chordata; Mammalia; Artiodactyla; Bovidae. RNAcentral also lists the same sequence under 2 other names.